This 550-nucleotide ribosomal RNA is filed under the name uncultured bacterium. RNAcentral describes it as "partial 16S ribosomal RNA". It matches the Rfam family "Bacterial small subunit ribosomal RNA", at positions 355 to 895 of the family's 1533-position model. The record is from RNAcentral.
UGGGGAAUUUUGGACAAUGGGCGCAAGCCUGAUCCAGCCAUGCCGCGUGCGGGAAGAAGGCCUUCGGGUUGUAAACCGCUUUUGUCAGGGAAGAAAUCUUCUGAGUUAAUACCUCGGGAGGAUGACGGUACCUGAAGAAUAAGCACCGGCUAACUACGUGCCAGCAGCCGCGGUAAUACGUAGGGUGCAAGCGUUAAUCGGAAUUACUGGGCGUAAAGCGUGCGCAGGCGGUUUUGUAAGACAGAGGUGAAAUCCCCGGGCUCAACCUGGGAACUGCCUUUGUGACUGCAAGGCUUGAGUGCGGCAGAGGGGGGAUGGAAUUCCGCGUGUAGCAGUGAAAUGCGUAGAUGUGCGGAGGAAACACCGAUGGCGAAGGCAAUCCCCUGGGCCUGCACUGACGCUCAUGCACGAAAGCGUGGGGAGCAAACAGGAUUAGAUACCCUGGUAGUCCACGCCCUAAAACGAUGUCAACUGGUUGUUGGGAAGGUUCCUUCUCAGUAACGUAGCUAACGCNUGAAGUUGACCGCCUGGGGAGUACGGCCGCAAGGUU